Molecule: ribosomal RNA, 253 nt
Filed under: uncultured bacterium
Lineage: Bacteria
Description: partial 16S ribosomal RNA
Rfam family: Bacterial small subunit ribosomal RNA
Source: RNAcentral
UACGUAGGGUGCGAGCGUUGUCCGGAAUUACUGGGCGUAAAGAGCUCGUAGGCGGUCUGUCGCGUCGGCUGUGAAAACCCGGAGCUCAACUCCGGGCCUGCAGUCGAUACGGGCAGACUGGAGUUCGGCAGGGGAGACUGGAAUUCCUGGUGUAGCGGUGAAAUGCGCAGAUAUCAGGAGGAACACCGGUGGCGAAGGCGGGUCUCUGGGCCGAUACUGACGCUGAGGAGCGAAAGCGUGGGGAGCGAACAGG